RNAcentral lists this ribosomal RNA (499 nucleotides) under uncultured Glomus. Its description in RNAcentral is "SSU rRNA". It matches the Rfam family "Eukaryotic small subunit ribosomal RNA", at positions 591 to 1092 of the family's 1831-position model. Lineage: Eukaryota; Fungi; Glomeromycota; Glomeromycetes; Glomerales; Glomeraceae. The record is from RNAcentral.
CCAAUAGCGUAUAUUAAAGUUGUUGCAGUUAAAAAGCUCGUAGUUGAAUUUCGGGAUCAGUACGCUGGUCGUGCCUUGGUAUGUACUGGUGUUACUGGUUCCUACCUUCUGACGAACCGUCAUGUCAUUAAUUUGGUGUGGCGGGAAAUCAGGACUGUUACUUUGAAAAAAUUAGAGUGUUUAAAGCAAGCUUACGCUUGAAUACAUUAGCAUGGAAUAAUGAAAUAGGACAUCAGAUUCUAUUUUGUUGGUUUCUAGGAUCGAUGUAAUGAUUAAUAGGGAUAGUUGGGGGCAUUAGUAUUCAAUUGUCAGAGGUGAAAUUCUUGGAUUUAUUGAAGACUAACUACUGCGAAAGCAUUUGCCAAGGAUGUUUUCAUUAAUCAAGAACGAAAGUUAGGGGAUCGAAGACGAUCAGAUACCGUCGUAGUCUUAACCAUAAACUAUGCCGACUAGGGAUCGGAUGAUGUUUAUUUUUUAGUGACUCAUUCGGCACCUUACG